UGGCCGACGGGGCGCGCGCGGCCGGGAGGGGCGGGGCGGACGCAGAGUCGCGUUUAGUCUAGCGCAGCGGUCGCGAGCGCUCUGGGUAUCCUGUGCUG
Molecule: microRNA precursor, 98 nt
Organism: Chlorocebus sabaeus (green monkey)
Lineage: Eukaryota; Metazoa; Chordata; Mammalia; Primates; Cercopithecidae
Rfam family: mir-639 microRNA precursor family
Source: Rfam